AAUUAAUAGUUUAGUGUUUUUUUUUUUAUUUUUUUAUCAUUUUGGGAUUUAAAAAAUUACACUUAAUUACGGCAUGUUUAAUUGUUUGGGUGAAAGUGGAGAGGGGUAAGGUGAUUUUCGACUGUAAACAAUCAUUUCUGCUGUUUGGUUCAUAGUAAUAGAGAUACGAUCAAAACAGCCGAAAUCAAUUACAGUGAAAAAGGUGAAGAAAAAAUAAUAAAAUAAUAUAAUGGGUAAUAUUAGUAAUAUUUAAAUAUAUAUUUAAUUAUGAUAUCAAUUACUCUUUUAUUUAGUUUGCAUAUUUAAAAUAUGAUAAAAAUUGAUUAGUUAAGUUUUAGUAUUUCCUUCAUUUAGUUUAUAAAUUUAAAAUAUGAUGAAAAUUAAUUAGUUAAGUAUUAAUAUUUUUUUUUACUUUAUAAUUUUGUUGUUGUAUUAUUAUAAUUUAUGUAUAAAAAAUAAUUUAGUUGUUUUAGAUUAAAUUUUUUAAUUAUAUAUGAAUAUAAUUAUAUUAUUUUUAUUUAUUAUAUUAUAUUAUUUAUUAAGUUAUUUAUUAUUUAUACAUAAUUAUAAUUUUACAUCAUUCGCUUCCUGGCCAACAAAUAACAGAGCUAAAGAAACUUCACUUCCAUAGCUAUACAAACAAACAGCGGAGGAGAAAUAAUUUUUACCGAACUCCACUUCAACCCAAAGUCCACUUCUAUCCAAAAUUUAAUUUCGGUGAAACAAACAGGCCCUUAAUUAUUUAUCUGUGGUUUUCUAUUUGUUUCACCAAAAAAAUUUAUCGCC
Molecule: long non-coding RNA, 786 nt
Filed under: Ananas comosus (pineapple)
Lineage: Eukaryota; Viridiplantae; Streptophyta; Magnoliopsida; Poales; Bromeliaceae
Description: long non-coding RNA (ACOM_LNC020681)
Source: RNAcentral